RNAcentral lists this ribosomal RNA (520 nucleotides) under uncultured Glomus. Its description in RNAcentral is "SSU rRNA". It matches the Rfam family "Eukaryotic small subunit ribosomal RNA", at positions 569 to 1091 of the family's 1831-position model. Lineage: Eukaryota; Fungi; Glomeromycota; Glomeromycetes; Glomerales; Glomeraceae. The record is from RNAcentral.
AGCAGCCGCGGUAAUUCCAGCUCCAAUAGCGUAUAUUAAAGUUGUUGCAGUUAAAAAGCUCGUAGUUGAAUUUCGAGAUCGGCUUACUGGUCGUGCUUUUGUACGUACUGGUAAAUCGGUUUCUCCUUUCUGACGAACUUUAAUGCCAUUAAUUUGGUGUUUUUAGGGAAUCAGGACUGUUACUUUGAAAAAAUUAGAGUGUUUAAAGCAGGCUCACGCUUGAAUACAUUAGCAUGGAAUAACGGAAUAGGACGUUUGAUUCUAUUUUGUUGAUUUCUAGGAUCGACGUAAUGAUUAAUAGGGAUAGUUGGGGGCAUUAGUAUUCAAUUGUCAGAGGUGAAAUUCUUGGAUUUAUUGAAGACUAACUACUGCGAAAGCAUUUGCCAAGGAUGUUUUCAUUAAUCAAGAACGAAAGUUAGGGGAUCGAAGACGAUCAGAUACCGUCGUAGUCUUAACCAUAAACUAUGCCGACUAGGGAUCGGAUGAUGUUAAUUUUUUAAUGACUCAUUCGGCGCCUUAC